RNAcentral lists this ribosomal RNA (495 nucleotides) under uncultured bacterium. RNAcentral's name for it is "partial 16S ribosomal RNA". It matches the Rfam family "Bacterial small subunit ribosomal RNA", at positions 28 to 507 of the family's 1533-position model. The record is from RNAcentral.
GACGAACGCUGGCGGCGUGCCUAAUACAUGCAAGUCGAACGCUGAAGGAGGAGCUUGCUUCUCUGGAUGAGUUGCGAACGGGUGAGUAACGCGUAGGUAACCUGCCUGGUAGCGGGGGAUAACUAUUGGAAACGAUAGCUAAUACCCCAUAAUAGUAAAUGUUGCAUGACAUUUGCUUAAAAGGUGCAAUUGUAUCACUACCAGAUGGACCUGCGUUGUAUUAUCUAGUUGGUGAGGUAAUGGCUCACCAAGGCAACGAUACAUAGCCGACCUGGGAGGGUGAUCGGCCACACUGGGACUGAGACACGGCCCAGACUCCUACGGGAGGCAGCAGUAGGGAAUCUUCGGCAAUGGACGGAAGUCUGACCGAGCAACGCCGCGUGAGUGAAGAAGGUUUUCGGAUCGUAAAGCUCUGUUGUAAGAGAAGAACGAGUGUGAGAGUGGAAAGUUCACACUGUGACGGUAUCUUACCAGAAAGGGACGGCUAACUACGUG